AUUGAACGCUGGCGGCAGGCCUAACACAUGCAAGUCGAACGAGUGGCGGACGGGUGAGUAAUGUCUGGGAAACUGCCUGAUGGAGGGGGAUAACUACUGGAAACGGUAGCUAAUACCGCAUACUAUCAGAUGAGCCUAGGUCGGAUUAGCUAGUUGGUGGGGUAAAGGCCUACCAAGGCGACGAUCCGUACCUGGUCUGAGAGGAUGACCAGCCACACUGGAACGGAGACACGGUCCAGAUUCCUACGGGAGGCAGCAGUGGUGAAUAUUGGACAAUGGGCGAAAGCCUGAUCCAGCCAUGCCGCGUGUUUGAAGAAGGUCUUCGGAUUGUAAAGCACUUUAAGUUGGGAGGCGUUACCAACAGAAUAAGCACCGGCUAACUUCGUGCCAGCCGCCGCGGUAAUUC
This 406-nucleotide ribosomal RNA is filed under the name uncultured bacterium. RNAcentral's name for it is "partial 16S ribosomal RNA". It matches the Rfam family "Bacterial small subunit ribosomal RNA", at positions 30 to 526 of the family's 1533-position model. The record is from RNAcentral.